Molecule: ribosomal RNA, 1385 nt
Filed under: uncultured organism
Description: bacterial SSU rRNA
Rfam family: Bacterial small subunit ribosomal RNA
Source: RNAcentral
CUUCGGGGUUGAGUAAAGUGGCGCACGGGUGAGUAAUGUAUAGGUAAUCUACCAUUAAGCUUGGGAUAACUUUCCGAAAGGAGAGCUAAUACCGAAUAAUGCUAUUUUUUCUACGGUUUAAAUAGCCAAAGAUGUCCUCUAUAUGAAUGAUGUCGCUUAAUGAUGAGCCUGUAUCCCAUUAGCUUGUUGGUAAGGUAAUGGCUUACCAAGGCUGAGAUGGGUAGCUGAUCUGAGAGGAUGAUCAGCCACACUGGAACUGAGACACGGUCCAGACUCCUACGGGAGGCAGCAGUAGGGAAUUUUGCGCAAUGGGGGAAACCCUGACGCAGCGACGCCGCGUGGAUGAUGAAGGCUUUCGGGUUGUAAAAUCCUGUCAGGUAGGAAGAAGGGUUAUUGGUAAAUAGCUAAUAACUUUGACGGUACUACCAGAGGAAGCACCGGCUAACUCCGUGCCAGCAGCCGCGGUAAUACGGAGGGUGCAAGCGUUGUUCGGAAUUACUGGGCGUAAAGGGCGAGUAGGCGGCUUGUUAAGUCAGAUGUGAAAUCCUAUGGCUCAACCAUAGAACUGCAUUUGAAACUGGCAGGCUUGAGUACGGUAGAGGGUGGUAGAAUUCCUAGUGUAGAGGUGAAAUUCGUAGAGAUUAGGAGGAAUACCAGUGGCGAAGGCGGCCACCUGGGCCGAUACUGACGCUGAUACGCGAAAGCGUGGGGAUCAAACAGGAUUAGAUACCCUGGUAGUCCACGCCGUAGACGAUGGGUACUAGGUGCUGGAGGUAUUAACCCCUUCGGUGCCGUAGUUAACGCAGUAAGUACCCCGCCUGGGGAGUACGGUCGCAAGAUUAAAACUCAAAGAAAUUGACGGGGACCCGCACAAGCGGUGGAGCAUGUGGUUUAAUUCGAGGCAACGCGAAGAACCUUACCUGGUCUUGACAUCCCCUGACAUCCCUAGAGAUAGGGUUUCCUCUUCGGAGGCAGGGAGACAGGUGCUGCAUGGCUGUCGUCAGCUCGUGUCGUGAGAUGUUGGGUUAAGUCCCGCAACGAGCGCAACCCUCGCCUUUAGUUGCCAGCAUUAAGUUGGGCACUCUAAAGGGACUGUCGGUGUUAAGCCGGAGGAAGGUGGGGAUGACGUCAAGUCCUCAUGGCCUUUAUGACCAGGGCUACACACGUGCUACAAUGGUCGGUACAAAGAGUUGCGAACUCGUGAGAGUAAGCUAAUCUCAAAAAACCGGUCGUAGUUCGGAUUGAAGUCUGCAAUUCGACUUCAUGAAGCUGGAAUCGCUAGUAAUCGCGGAUCAGCAUGCCGCGGUGAAUACGUUCCCGGGUCUUGUACACACCGCCCGUCACACCACGAAAGCUGAUUGAACCAGACGUUAUUGAGCUAACCC